This 253-nucleotide ribosomal RNA is filed under the name uncultured bacterium. Its description in RNAcentral is "partial 16S ribosomal RNA". It matches the Rfam family "Bacterial small subunit ribosomal RNA", at positions 524 to 776 of the family's 1533-position model. The record is from RNAcentral.
UACGGAGGAUGCAAGCGUUAUCCGGAAUUAUUGGGCGUAAAGCGUCCGCAGGUGGCAAUGUAAGUCUGCUGUCAAAGCGUCUGGCUCAACCAGAUAAAGGCAGUGGAAACUACAUAGCUAGAGUAAGGUAGGGGUAGAGGGAAUUCCUGGUGUAGCAGUGAAAUGCGUAGAUAUCAGGAGGAACACCGAUGGCGAAGGCAGGUCUCUGGGCUGACACUGACGCUCAUGCACGAAAGCGUGGGGAGCAAACAGG